UACGAAGGGGGCUAGCGUUGCUCGGAAUGACUGGGCGUAAAGGGCGCGUAGGCGGAUGGCACAGUCAGAUGUGAAAUUCCCGGGCUUAACCUGGGGGCUGCAUUUGAUACGUGUUGUCUUGAGUUCGGAAGAGGGUCGUGGAAUUCCCAGUGUAGAGGUGAAAUUCGUAGAUAUUGGGAAGAACACCGGUGGCGAAGGCGGCGACCUGGUCCGAUACUGACGCUGAGGCGCGAAAGCGUGGGGAGCAAACAGG
This 253-nucleotide ribosomal RNA is filed under the name uncultured bacterium. Its description in RNAcentral is "partial 16S ribosomal RNA". It matches the Rfam family "Bacterial small subunit ribosomal RNA", at positions 524 to 776 of the family's 1533-position model. The record is from RNAcentral.